CCCUUAGAUGUCCUGGGCUGCACGCGCGCUACACUGGAAGUUACGGAUUGAGAUACUACCUUGUCCGAAAUGGUCCGGGUAAUCACCUAAAAGCUUGUCAUAAUUGGAAUGGAUUAUUGUAACUAGUAAUCCUGAACGAGGAAUUCCUAGUAAGUCCCAGUCAACAGCUGGUACUGAUUACGUCCCUGCCCUUUGUACACACCGCCCGUCGCUACUACAGAGUGCCCGUGUCCAAGAAACGGUUGGACCUGUGCGGCCUCUCCGGGCGACCGGAGGGCCGUUACGGGAAAGACCCUUUAUUUGACGCGGGUCGAUGAAGUAAAAGUCGUAACA
RNAcentral lists this ribosomal RNA (333 nucleotides) under uncultured eukaryote. RNAcentral's name for it is "partial 18S ribosomal RNA". It matches the Rfam family "Eukaryotic small subunit ribosomal RNA", at positions 1470 to 1796 of the family's 1831-position model. The record is from RNAcentral.